RNAcentral lists this ribosomal RNA (305 nucleotides) under uncultured bacterium. RNAcentral's name for it is "bacterial SSU rRNA". It matches the Rfam family "Bacterial small subunit ribosomal RNA", at positions 336 to 658 of the family's 1533-position model. The record is from RNAcentral.
CUCCUACGGGGCGCAGCAGUGGGGAAUAUUGCACAAUGGGGGAAACCCUGAUGCAGCGACGCCGCGUGAGUGAAGAAGUAAUUCGUUAUGUAAAGCUCUAUCAGCAGGGAAGAAAAUGACGGUACCUGAGUAAGAAGCCCCGGCUAACUACGUGCCAGCAGCCGCGGUAAUACGUAGGGGGCAAGCGUUAUCCGGAUUUACUGGGUGUAAAGGGAGCGUAGACGGCAGUGCAAGUCUGGAGUGAAAGGCGGGGGCUCAACCCCGGGACUGCUCUUGGAACUGCAUGGCUGGAGUACAGGAGGGGG